Molecule: ribosomal RNA, 1236 nt
Filed under: human gut metagenome
Description: bacterial SSU rRNA
Rfam family: Bacterial small subunit ribosomal RNA
Source: RNAcentral
CCGGUCUAAGAGGAUGGACGGCCACAUUGGAACUGAGACACGGUCCAGACAUCUACGGAUGGCAGCAGUUUCGAAUCAUUCACAAUGGGCGAAAGCCUGAUGGUGCGACGUCGCGUGGAGGAGGAAGGUCUUCGGAUUGUAAACUCCUGUCAUUGGGGAGCAAAAACAGGGUGCGUAGCCCUGCUUGAGUUAACUCAAAGAGGAAGCAGUGGCAAACUCCGUGCCAGCAGCCGCGGUAAUACGGAGACUGCGAGCGUUACUCGGAUUCACUGGGCGUAAAGGGUGCGCAGGCGGUUGGAUGUGUUGAGUGUGAAAUUUUAGGGCUUAACCCUAGAGCUGCACUCGAAACUGUCCGACUCGAGUUCCGGAGGGGUAAGCGGAAUUUCAGGUGUAGCAGUGAAAUGCGUAGAUAUCUGGAAGAACACCGAAAGCGAAGGCAGCUUACUGGAAGGGGACUGACGCUCAGGCACGAAAGCGUGGGGAGCGAAAGGGAUUAGAUACCCCUGUAGUCCACGCUGUAAACGUUGUACACUAGGUUUUGGGGCAUUCGAUCGUUUCAGAACCCAAGCUAACGCGAUAAGUGUACCGCCUGAGGACUACGGCCGCAAGGCUAAAACUUAAAGGAAUUGACGGGGACCCGCACAAGCGGUGGAGCAUGUGGCUUAAUUCGAUGAAACGCGAAGAACCUUACCUAGGCUUGACAUGUAGUGGGAGGCUGAUGAAAGUCGGCCGUCCUUCGGGACUGCUACACAGGUGCUGCAUGGCUGUCGUCAGCUCGUGUCGUGAGAUGUUCGGUUAAGUCCGGCAACGAGCGCAACCCCUCUUCUUAGUUGCCAGCGGGUAAAGCCGGGGACUCUAAGGAGACGAACUCGAUAUAGAGUGGGAAGGUGGGGAUGACGUCAGGUCAGCAUGGCCCUUACGUCUAGGGCUGCACACGUGCUACAAUGCUCGGUACAAAGGGAGGCGAGACCGCGAGGUGGAGCGAAUCCCCAAAGCCGGGCCCAGUUCGGAUUGAAGUCUGCAAUUCGACUUCAUGAAGCCGGAAUCGCUAGUAAUGGUAUAUCAGCUACGGUACCGUGAAUACGUUCCCGGGCCUUGUACACACCGCCCGUCAAGUCAUGAAAGCCGGUCUCACCCAAAGUAUGUGAAGCCAACCGCGAGGGGGCAGCAUCCUAAGGAGAGGUUGGUGAUUGGGACUAAGUCGUAACAAGGUAGCCCUAGGGGAACCUGGGGCUG